CCCUUAGAUGUUCUGGGCGGCCCGCGCACUACAUUGGCACUAGCAAAGAGAUCCUAGAUUGAAUUCUUUGGGGUAUUCUUCUAAAUGGUGUCGUGACUGGGAUAAAUCCUUGUAAUUAUUGGUUUUGAACGAGGAAUUCCUUGUAAUCGCGGUUUAUCAGCUCGCGUUGAAUGCGUCCCUGCCCUUUGUACACACCGCCCGUCGCUCCUACCGAUGGAUCGUCCGGUGAAGUUCACGGAGUGACUGUUCACGCAACGGUUUACGAAGUGAAAUGGACCUCACGAUUUAGAGGAAGGAGAAGUCGUAACA
This 309-nucleotide ribosomal RNA is filed under the name uncultured eukaryote. RNAcentral's name for it is "partial 18S ribosomal RNA". It matches the Rfam family "Eukaryotic small subunit ribosomal RNA", at positions 1470 to 1796 of the family's 1831-position model. The record is from RNAcentral.